GUCCCUUUGGGGAUAUCCGAUAAAUUUGGGAUGAUACAGAGAGAAGAUUAGCAUGGUCCAUGCGUAAGAAUGACACGCACAAAUCGAGAAAUGAUUCAAAUUUUA
Molecule: small nuclear RNA, 105 nt
Organism: Solanum stenotomum
Lineage: Eukaryota; Viridiplantae; Streptophyta; Magnoliopsida; Solanales; Solanaceae
Source: RefSeq, a predicted model, not a curated record